This 498-nucleotide ribosomal RNA is filed under the name uncultured bacterium. RNAcentral's name for it is "bacterial SSU rRNA". It matches the Rfam family "Bacterial small subunit ribosomal RNA", at positions 24 to 518 of the family's 1533-position model. The record is from RNAcentral.
UCAGGAUGAACGCUAGCUACAGGCUUAACACAUGCAAGUCGAGGGGUAGCAGGGUAGCAAUACCGCUGACGACCGGCGCACGGGUGAGUAACACGUAUCCAACCUUCCCAUAACUCAGGGAUAGCCUUUCGAAAGAAAGAUUAAUACCUGAUAGUACUUUUUCAAGGCAUCUUGAGAAAGUUAAAGAUUUAUUGGUUAUGGAUGGGGAUGCGUUCCAUUAGAUAGUUGGUGAGGUAACGGCUCACCAAGUCUUCGAUGGAUAGGGGUUCUGAGAGGAAGGUCCCCCACAUUGGUACUGAGACACGGACCAAACUCCUACGGGAGGCAGCAGUGAGGAAUAUUGGUCAAUGGGCGAGAGCCUGAACCAGCCAAGUAGCGUGAAGGAAUGAAGGUCCUAUGGAUUGUAAACUUCUUUUAUAGUAGAAUAAAGUGAUCCACGUGUGGAUUUUUGUAUGUAUACUAUGAAUAAGGAUCGGCUAACUCCGUGCCAGCCGCGGC